AUUUAGAUUUAAGCAUAAAAGUGAUUUGUUGUGUUUUUUUUUUUGUUGUGUUUAGUUUUGUUUUGUUUUUUAUAGUUAAGUAAAAAGUUAAGUUUAUACAAAGGCGAUGGAACCAAGCACGUUUUCGUAUCUGUACUCUAAUACUCUGUACUCUGUACUCUGUACUCUGGACUCUGUACAGUCCAAUCCACAUUCUCAAUUACAUUACAUUCCCCCCGACGACAAAAGAAGAUGACUUUCAAGGUAGUCGCUCGCAAUAAGUGGAAUCUGGUGUUCACUUAUCGAAAAAUC
This is a long non-coding RNA of Drosophila pseudoobscura, 291 nucleotides long. RefSeq lists it as uncharacterized. NCBI's taxonomy places the organism in Eukaryota, Metazoa, Arthropoda, Insecta, Diptera, Drosophilidae. The transcript is spliced from 3 exons. The record is from RefSeq and is a predicted model, not a curated record.